This 445-nucleotide ribosomal RNA is filed under the name uncultured bacterium. RNAcentral's name for it is "bacterial SSU rRNA". It matches the Rfam family "Bacterial small subunit ribosomal RNA", at positions 217 to 662 of the family's 1533-position model. The record is from RNAcentral.
GGUAUGGGAUGAGCUUGCGUCCGAUUAGCUAGUUGGCGGGGCAACGGCCCACCAAGGCGACGAUCGGUAGCCGGCCUGAGAGGGUGAUCGGCCACAUUGGGACUGAGAUACGGCCCAGACUCCUACGGGAGGCAGCAGUAGGGAAUAUUGCACAAUGGGGGAAACCCUGAUGCAGCAACGCCACGUGUGGGAAGAAGCAUUUCGGUGUGUAAACCACUGUCGUGAGGGAAUAAGGCGUCUUCUCGGAGGCGUUGAAUGUACCUCGAAAGGAAGCACCGGCAAACUUCGUGCCAGCAGCCGCGGUAAUACGAGGGGUGCAAGCGUUGUUCGGAAUCACUGGGCGUAAAGGGAGCGUAGGCGGAGAUGCAAGCGGACUGUACAAUACCGGGGCCCAACCCCGGGCCUGCAGUUCGGACUGCACCUCUUGGAUAGUUCAGGGGCAGGC